ACGAACGCUGGCGGCAUGCCUAACACCUGCAAGUCGAACGAAGGCUUCGGCCUUAGUGGCGCACGGGUGCGUAACGCGUGGGAAUCUGCCCUUUGGUUCGGAAUAACAGCUGGAAACGGCUGCUAAUACCGGAUGAUGACGAAAGUCCAAAGAUUUAUCGCCAGAGGAUGAGCCCGCGUUGGAUUAGGUAGUUGGUGGGGUAAAGGCCUACCAAGCCGACGAUCCAUAGCUGGUCUGAGAGGAUGAUCAGCCACACUGGGACUGAGACACGGCCCAGACUCCUACGGGAAGCAGCAGUGGGGAAUAUUGGACAAUGGGCGCAAGCCUGAUCCAGCAAUGCCGCGUGAGUGAUGAAGGCCCUAGGGUUGUAAAGCUCUUUUACCCGGGAAGAUAAUGACUGUACCGGGAGAAUAAGCCCCGGCUAACUCCGUG
RNAcentral lists this ribosomal RNA (432 nucleotides) under uncultured bacterium. RNAcentral describes it as "partial 16S ribosomal RNA". It matches the Rfam family "Bacterial small subunit ribosomal RNA", at positions 29 to 507 of the family's 1533-position model. The record is from RNAcentral.